CUCCUGCGCCGCUCGGCUUUCUGUGAGGGAGCAGUCUCUGCCCCCGCCUCCCUCAGGGCUGCAGGGCACAGCCCCCACUGCCUCCCUUCAGCACAGCGGUGCUCUGGCCCCACCGCAGCCCACUCCACGGGAGCUGCCCCUGGCGCUGCCAGUCGUCUUCCAUCCCGCCUCGCCUUAAUUUUUCUACUCCUUCACUUCGCUGUUGCACCACCUCGCUGCAAAUACCCCUCCGAAGAGAUCUCUCAGUGUCCUGCUGAGGAAGCCUUGGGAUUUUCCCCGUGCGAAAAUGUAUUUGAGAUGCUGUUAUAGGUGCUUCAGAGCAGAAUGUCACACAAGCCAUGAAAUUAAGGUGAUACGAAAUUAAAGAGUGGCCCUCGUUUAAAUGUAACAAACAGAUCUCGUUAGCUGUGCCAGCGAGGAAGGGUGUACCUCGGUAGCCACAAGGAAUUUCUGGUUUCAGUGAAGCAACUGGUGGUUCUGAAAUGAGUUCACAGAUAGGUGCAAUAUAUUCCCUACAUACUUACCCCAUUAUAUGCCACAGAUCAUCAUCCACUUCCCUCCACACAGCUCAAUAAAGGGAUCAAGAAAUUCUUCGCACAGAGAUAACAGCAACAAGACACCUAAAGAGUUACCGCCUCCUUAUUGGAAAAGGCAAACAUUCUUCCACCUCCUGUUCCGUCUUUAAGGAGCCACCAGGAAGAAGUUGACAACAACCAGAGAACACCCUUUGUUUGAAAAGAAUUUAUGCAUCGUGUAUGAGAUAUGUAAAUAUGCAACAGGCUACUGCUUUUAAGGGUUAAUCCUUUGUUAGCAUCCGUGCUUUCAGGGCUUAAUUGGCCUAGGACAGGACUGUCCAUAUUUCUUUUUUUUUUAUUGUCCUUUAUUGUCCUAACUCUGUCCAAAUUCUUAUUACUCAAUUUUUAUUACCAUUUUAUUACUAUUAAACUUUUAAAA
Non-coding RNA from Taeniopygia guttata (zebra finch), 954 nucleotides. Lineage: Eukaryota; Metazoa; Chordata; Aves; Passeriformes; Estrildidae. The record is from RefSeq and is a predicted model, not a curated record.